Non-coding RNA from Pelobates cultripes (western spadefoot toad), 399 nucleotides. The record is from the annotation of a GenBank genome assembly. NCBI's taxonomy places the organism in Eukaryota, Metazoa, Chordata, Amphibia, Anura, Pelobatidae.
CCAAUAUCUUCUGUCUGUCUAGUACAUGAACAGGACCAAUGUUGCUUCUAUGCCCCAUAUUUCCUCUUUCAUAGUAAUUUUGUAACUUGUUCUUACAAUUUUUAUGUCCACUUCCUCUCUGAUGCCUAUGGUUUACAUCAAAGAACCAGUAUCCGUUUUGUCCAUGCUACUUAUCCUUCUGCUGUUCAAUGGGCAACCCGACUGAUGAACGAAUAAUGUAUCUGAAUGAUAACGAUAUGUAAACAGUUUCACAGUAUAACAGGUUUGUCACCCUGAUCCGAUUAACAAUCACGUGAAUUGGUCUUUUAUGGCUUUAACCCUUUGUGAGCCAGAGGGGAGGGGAACGCAAUGCUGUUACUCUACGUUGCACACCCCUCUGGAAACCAAAGUGUUAAGAGU